Populus euphratica (Euphrates poplar) is the source of this 883-nucleotide long non-coding RNA. RefSeq lists it as uncharacterized. The record is from RefSeq and is a predicted model, not a curated record. Lineage: Eukaryota; Viridiplantae; Streptophyta; Magnoliopsida; Malpighiales; Salicaceae. The transcript is spliced from 3 exons.
CGGGGGGAGGGAUCUUGACCAAAAAAAAAAGGAAACCCUCAAAAACAAAAACUAAGCCUUUUCUUCUCCCUUGAAGAAUCGGCCGCCCCCUUCCUUGAUUUUUUUUUUUCUCUUCCACAUCGUAGCCCCAUCUUCUUCUUCCUUUCUUGUAACUGAUCUUCCCUCUCUCAGCCCCCCUCUCAUUUCCUUCUCUCGGCCGGCGACCCCCGGCCUUCACAAAAGAGGAAAGCCAUGAUUGGUCUCUCUUGUCCACUGUCAUCUCCCCACACCGGACAAGCCCCCCUCCUCCAGUUGUUCCUCCAACGUUCACAGACUCAGAUCGAUCGGCCCUUCUCCAGCAGCACACCUACAGCGACCGUCCACCACACCGAGACCCACCGAUUUGUCCAUUCCUCCACCUCAACACUGCCAGCAACCUCCCAUCUUCGUAGUAGCUCCAGCAGUUGUAGGCAGUAGCAACAAAGCCGACUAAAGCCGACAAUCAAACCACUUCGUUCUCCUCCAUCUCCGUCAAACCAGACUCCAGGGGCUGCACAACCGUUGAUUGAAACACAUCCACCCAUCCGGCUGCCUGAAAUAGAGAAGGAGAAACCCGAAGAAAAGUAGAUCUGUGGAGACAAAAGCAGAUCCAAACAGAGAAGAAGAGAAAUAAACAGAUCCGUGAACAAGAAAGAAAGAAAUUAAAAUCCACUGCUUGAUGCGUUUUUUUUUCCUUUCUUUUAGGUUUUCUGCAGGUCACCGCUGGUGUAGGGAGGCUGAGAAGAAGAGGUUGAUACAGAUCCCCUCUGUUUCUAGGACUUUUCUGCGGCGGCGCGUGAACCCACGCACCACCAGUGGCGGUAGCGCGUGGGAAGACGCGCCGACCCCUGUUUUUUGCCCCCUG